This 253-nucleotide ribosomal RNA is filed under the name uncultured bacterium. RNAcentral's name for it is "partial 16S ribosomal RNA". It matches the Rfam family "Bacterial small subunit ribosomal RNA", at positions 524 to 776 of the family's 1533-position model. The record is from RNAcentral.
UACGAAGGGUGCAAGCGUUACUCGGAAUUACUGGGCGUAAGGCGUGCGUAGGUGGUUUGUUAAGUCUGUUGUGAAAGCCCCGGGCUCAACCUGGGAAUGGCAAUGGAUACUGGCAAGCUAGAGUGCGGUAGAGGGUAGUGGAAUUCCCGGUGUAGCGGUGAAAUGCGUAGAGAUCGGGAGGAACACCAGUGGCGAAGGCGGCUACCUGGACCAGCACUGACACUGAGGCACGAAAGCGUGGGGAGCAAACAGG